This 429-nucleotide long non-coding RNA is filed under the name Lathyrus oleraceus (garden pea). RNAcentral describes it as "Pisum sativum (pea) long non-coding RNA (PSAT_LNC009513)". The record is from RNAcentral. Lineage: Eukaryota; Viridiplantae; Streptophyta; Magnoliopsida; Fabales; Fabaceae.
UUUAGUGGUUGAGUUUUGAUUCCCAACUCCUGCAAUUUUAUGUUUUAUUUACAACUAAAAAGGCACCUUUACUUUUUUUAUACAUUUUAUGUCGGAUAUUAUCCCUCGGUUGUUGUAGAAAAUCGAGAUAAAAACUCUAAAAAUAAUUUUUAUUCCUUCAGAAUUAUAAUGUUUUGUCUCAUUCAUUUUUUGAGCCCUAACGAAUGAAAGGAACCCAUUCUUCUCCAGCGACCAAAGGAGUUUCCGAAGAAUCAGAACCACCACCCAUCUUCUCUAAGGAGGAAGUGAGAUCAAAUUAUUCUCCUUUGAGUCUCUCAUCACAUUUUUGGUAUGUACAAGUUCUCCAUUACUGUUAUUGUUGUUUUCGUUGUUCAUGUUGCAGCCGUAGGUCGUUGUUAUUGUUGUUGUUAUUGUUUUUCCAUUGUUGAU